RNAcentral lists this small RNA (67 nucleotides) under Mesobacillus foraminis. RNAcentral's name for it is "Bacillus foraminis Bacillaceae-1 RNA". It matches the Rfam family "Bacillaceae-1 RNA". Lineage: Bacteria; Bacillati; Bacillota; Bacilli; Caryophanales; Bacillaceae. The record is from Rfam by way of RNAcentral.
UUGGGAGGAACGUCAACUAAGACCCGCCACAUCCUGUGGCGAACGUUGACAUCCCGCUUCCUUUGGC